Capsicum annuum is the source of this 1807-nucleotide non-coding RNA. NCBI's taxonomy places the organism in Eukaryota, Viridiplantae, Streptophyta, Magnoliopsida, Solanales, Solanaceae. The record is from Rfam.
UACCUGGUUGAUCCUGCCAGUAUUCAUAUGUUUGUCUCAAAGAUUAAGCCAUGCAUGUGUAAGUAUGAACAAAUUCAGACUGUUAAACUGCGAAUGGCUCAUUAAAUCAGUUAUAUUUUGUUUGAUGGUAUCUACUACACGGAUAACGGUAUUAUUUCUAGAGCUAAUACGUGCAACAAACCCCGACUUCUGGAAGGGAUGCAUUUAUUAGAUAAAAAGUCGAUGCAGGCUCGGCCCGCUGCUGUGAUGAUUCAUGAUAACUCAACGGAUCACAUGACCAUCGUUCCAGCGACGCAUUAUUCAAAUUUCUGUCAUAUCAAGUUUUGAUGGUAGGAUAGUGACCUACUGUAGUGGUGAUGGGUGACGAAGAAUUAGGGUUCGAUUUCUAUGAGGGAUCUUGAGAAAUGGCUACCACAUCCAAGGAAGGCAGCAGGCACGUAAAUUACCCAAUCCUGACACGUGGAGGUAGUGACAAUAAAUAACAAUACCGGGCUCAAUGAUUCUUGUAAUUGGAAUGAGUAUAAUCUAAAUCCCUCAAUGAGGAUCCACUGGAGGGAGAUUCUGGUGCCAGCAGCCGUGGUAAUUCCAGCACCAAUAGCGUAUAUUUAAGUUGUUGUAGUUAAAAAGCUCAAAGUUGGACUUUGGGAUUGGCCGGCCGGUCCGCCUAUGGUGUGCAUUGGUCGUCUCGUCCCUUCCAUCGGCGAUACGCUACUGACCUUAACUGGCCGGGUCCUGCCUCCGACGUUGUUACUUUGAAGAAAUUAAAGUUCUUAAAGCAAGCGUACGCUCUGUAUACAUUAUCAUGGGAUAACAUUAUAGGAUUUCAGUCCUAUUACGUUGGCCUUCGAGAUCGGAGUAAUGAUUAUAGGGACAGUCGGGGGCAUUCGUAUUUCAUAGUCAGAGGUGAAAUGAUUGGAUUUAUGAAAUACGAACAACUGCGAAGGCAUUUUCCAAGGAUGUUUUCAUUAAUCAAGAAUGAAAGUUGGGGGCUUGAAGGCGGUCAGAUACCGUCCUAAUAUCAACCAUAAAUGAUACCGACCAGGGAUCGGCGGAUGUUGCUUUUAGGAACAUGCUGGCACCUUAUGAGAAAACAAAGUUUUUGGGUUCCGGAGGGAGUAUGGUCGCAAGGUUGAAACUUAAAGGAAUUGAUUGAAGGGCACCACCAGGAGUGGAGCCUGUGGCUUAAUUUGACUCAACACGGGGAAACUUACCAGGUCCUGACAUAGUAAGGAUUGAUAGACUAAGAGCUCUUUCUUGAUUCUAUGAGUGGUGGUGCAUGGCCAUUCUUAGUUGGUGGAGUGAUUUGUCUUGUUAAUUCCGUUAACAAAUGAGACCUCAGGCUGCUAACUAGCUAUGCGAAGGUAUUCCUUCGCGGCCAGCUUCUUAGAGGGACUACGACAUUUCAGGCCGCCGAAGUAUGACGUAAUAAUAAGUCUGUGAUGCCCUUAGAUGUUCUGGGCCGCACGCACACUACACUGAUGUAUUCAAUGAGUUUAUAGCCUUGGUCGACAGGCCCGGGUAAUCUUUGAAAUUUCAUCGUGAAGGGGAUAGAUCAUUGCAAUUAUUGAUCUUCAAUGAGAAAUUCCUAGUAAGCGUGAGUCAUCAGCUCGUGUUGACUAUGUCCUUGCCCUUUGUGCACACCGCCCGUCGCUCAUACCGAUUGAAUGAUCCGGUAAAAUAUUCAAAUCAUGGCCACAUGGGUGGUUCACUGCCUGCGAAGUCGUGAGAAGUCCAUUGAACCUUAUCAUUUAGAGGAAGGAGAAUUCAUAUCAAGGUUUUCGUUGGUGAACCUGUGGAAGGAUCAUUG